RNAcentral lists this unclassified non-coding RNA (22 nucleotides) under synthetic construct. The record is from RNAcentral.
GGCUCGCAGCAGGUCUGGAGUC